CCUACGGGUGGCAGCAGUGGGGAAUAUUGCACAAUAGGGGAAACCCUGAUGCAGCGACGCCGCGUGAAGGAAGAAGGUUUUCGGAUCGUAAACUUCUAUCAGCAGGGAAGAAGAAAGUGACAGUACCUGACUAAGAAGCCCCGGCUAACUACGUGCCAGCAGCCGCGGUAAUACGUAGGGGGCAAGCGUUAUCCGGAAUCACUGGGUGUAAAGGGUGCGCAGGCGGUAGGGCAAGUCAGAUGUGAAAGCCCGGGGCUCAACCCCGGGAUUGCAUUUGAAACUGUCUUACUAGAGUGCAGGAGAGGAAAGCGGAAUGCCGAGUGUAGCGGUGAAAUGGGUAGAUAUUGGGAGGAACACCAGUUGCGAAGGCGGCUCGCUGGACUGGAACUGACGCUGAGGCACGAAAGCGUGGGGAGCGAACAGGAUUAGAUACCCGAGUAGUC
RNAcentral lists this ribosomal RNA (443 nucleotides) under uncultured bacterium. RNAcentral's name for it is "bacterial SSU rRNA". It matches the Rfam family "Bacterial small subunit ribosomal RNA", at positions 338 to 795 of the family's 1533-position model. The record is from RNAcentral.